RNAcentral lists this ribosomal RNA (426 nucleotides) under uncultured bacterium. RNAcentral's name for it is "bacterial SSU rRNA". It matches the Rfam family "Bacterial small subunit ribosomal RNA", at positions 354 to 796 of the family's 1533-position model. The record is from RNAcentral.
GUAGGGAAUAUUGCACAAUGGGCGAAAGCCUGAUGCAGCAACGCCGCGUGCGCGAUGAAGGCCUUCGGGUCGUAAAGCGCUUUUUGGGGAGAUGAGGAAGGACAGUAUCCCCAGAAUAAGGUUCGGCUAACUACGUGCCAGCAGCCGCGGUAAAACGUAGGAACCGAGCGUUAUCCGAAUUUACUGGGCGUAAAGCGCGUGUAGGCGGUUCGGUAAGUUGGAUGUGAAAUCUCCCGGCUCAACUGGGAGAGGUCGUUCAAUACUGUCGGACUGGAGGGUGGUAGAGGGAGGUGGAAUUCCCGGUGUAGUGGUGAAAUGCGUAGAUAUCGGGAGGAACACCAGUGGCGAAAGCGGCCUCCUGGACCAUACCUGACGCUCAGACGCGAAAGCUAGGGGAGCGAACGGGAUUAGAAACCCCAGUAGUCC